CCCAGCUGUAAGCAACUACGUAGGUUGCCUUGUAGCUAGGCAAGUGUUCCACUGCUGGGAGAGAAGCAGCUGAUAGCUGGCGGGCGUCUGGGCCUGGUUAAUGCCAAAUCUGCGUUAACUAU
Small nucleolar RNA from Ochotona princeps (American pika), 122 nucleotides. Its record names the gene SNORA74. It matches the Rfam family "Small nucleolar RNA SNORA74". Rfam says of the family: U19 belongs to the H/ACA class of snoRNAs. snoRNAs bind a number of proteins (including dyskerin, Gar1p and Nop10p in the case of the H/ACA class) to form snoRNP complexes. This class are thought to guide the sites of modification of uridines to pseudouridines by forming direct base pairing interactions with substrate RNAs. Targets may include ribosomal and spliceosomal RNAs but the exact functions of many snoRNAs, including U19, are not confirmed. The record is from Ensembl. Lineage: Eukaryota; Metazoa; Chordata; Mammalia; Lagomorpha; Ochotonidae.